GUCUACGGCCAUACCACCCUGAAUGCACCUGAUCUCUGAUCUUGGACGCUAAGCAGUGUCAGGCCUGGUUAGUGCUGGGAUGGGAAAAAGACCCAGGCCCACCUGUAAGGA
Molecule: ribosomal RNA, 111 nt
Filed under: Myotis lucifugus (little brown bat)
Lineage: Eukaryota; Metazoa; Chordata; Mammalia; Chiroptera; Vespertilionidae
Source: RNAcentral